Molecule: RNA transcript, 12027 nt
Organism: Haemorhous mexicanus (house finch)
Lineage: Eukaryota; Metazoa; Chordata; Aves; Passeriformes; Fringillidae
Gene: MPPED2
Gene name: metallophosphoesterase domain containing 2
Exons: 10
Source: RefSeq, a predicted model, not a curated record
CCGCCGCUGCUGCCGCCGGGCGCCGCCGCGGGGUCGGGCGCAGGCUCUGCCCCGGCCGCGCCCCCGCAGCCCCAUGGAGCGGCCCCGCUGCCCGCGCUGAAGGCAUCCCCGACCCGUCCGCAGCGGCAGCCGGCGGAGGGAAGAGGUCACGGAGUUGAUGCGGAGCUGCUGGGAGUUGGGAUCUGCCCGGAGCACAAUGCCCUGCCCUGUCCCUGGCCUUGGGAAGCUGUGAGCUGGCUCAUGUCCAUAAGGAGGAAGGAUGGCUCAUGGAAUUCCUUCACAAGGCAAAGUUACCAUAACGGUGGAUGAGUACAGCUCCAACCCAACGCAGGCGUUCACGCACUACAACAUCAACCAGAGCCGCUUCCAGCCUCCCCACGUGCACAUGGUCGACCCCAUCCCAUAUGACACUCCAAAGCCAGCGGGCCACACACGCUUUGUCUGCGUCUCAGACACGCACUCCAGAACAGAUGGCAUCCAGAUGCCCUACGGGGACAUCCUGCUCCACACGGGCGACUUCACCGAGCUGGGACUGCCCUCCGAGGUUAAGAAGUUUAAUGACUGGUUAGGAAACCUACCAUAUGAAUAUAAAAUAGUGAUUGCUGGGAAUCAUGAACUGACAUUUGAUAAGGAAUUCAUGGCAGACCUUGUUAAACAAGAUUACUACCGCUUUCCCUCUGUGUCCAAAUUGAAACCAGAGGACUUUGACAAUGUUCAGUCACUCCUGACAAAUAGUAUUUACUUACAAGAUUCAGAGGUAACAGUUAAAGGAUUCCGAAUAUAUGGUGCCCCGUGGACACCAUGGUUUAAUGGAUGGGGCUUUAAUCUACCCAGAGGUCAGUCUUUGCUAGACAAGUGGAACCUUAUUCCUGAGGGAAUUGAUAUACUAAUGACACAUGGACCUCCCCUUGGUUUUCGAGACUGGGUUCCCAAGGAGCUGCAGAGAGUGGGCUGUGUGGAGCUGCUGAACACAGUGCAGAGGAGAGUCAGGCCCAAACUGCAUGUCUUUGGUGGGAUUCAUGAAGGAGCUAUGGCUGCAAAAAUCUGCUUUCAGACAUGAGAAAAUAAGGUGCAGUUUGCAUGAAUCUGCAUCCUCAGUAACAACAACACCUGGACAGAGCAUCCCCAUUUACCUUACCAGAAGGAGGAAGUCCCACAGCCUCAGAUGCUCUGCAGUGCCAUGAAUUUUCAGGACAGAGCAGUCCUCAAGCCCAAGAGCAGGGCAAUGGAAGAAAUCCUGGAAGUGUGUCUAGUAGGUUUUUUGGCAGCUGGGAAAAAUGACAGAUUUCAAGGGGUUUCCACAAAGCCUACUCCCUCCUCCAAGCACACAUCAAACAAGAGCAUCUUUCCUGAGGGGCACAAGUGCUCUCAGGAUGGCCCUCCUGAGCUCAGUGCAGCCUGCAAGGACCCUGCCCCAGUGACAAUGGCCAAAAGGAGCUGAAAUGUGCCCAGCACACGAGAACUAUCUCUGCAUACGAGGGCAGUGAGUUUCAUUACAUUAGUUUUCAUUUUCCUGCCUUCUGCUUGGUGCUCUGGCUAGCCCAGCAUCCUUCUCAGCCCCCAGCAUCUUUCCUCCUCUGGGGAACUGCACAGGUUCCCCCUGCCAGCACCCAGAACCCCACAGGAUUUCCUUCCCUGAGACAGGCAGGAAAGAGAACAGUAUAAAAAUAAAGAGUGCAAACAGCAGCAAUAUACUCUACAGGUGCUUGCAUGCACAGCUUUCCUCCUGGAUACAAACAAACGUGAAAGAAAAUCAGAAUUGCAGCAAUGAUCACCUCAGCUAGGCAGUUUCCCAAGUCCUUCCUCACCCUCUAGAAAGUUGCUGUGCUCCUGCAAUGAUCAGUGGAUGUUAUUUUCUUAUAGUUUGUCCAAUACAAUUCAGCCCUGGUGGACUUGCAGCUCAUCCCUGCUGUAAUAGGUCACCAUAUGCUUCACAUCUGGCCCUACAAAAGAAGCCAUAUCACACACAUGAUGACAACUGGUUUAGGGCACAGUCUCCAGAGACUGAUAACUGUGGCCAGCAGUCUUGACAAUUUAGCAGUUUCAUUAAUCAGCAUUAAAAUCUCAUUUUACUAUUACAGGCAUAAUUAUUACACAUCCAAAUGCUGACUAAAAUAAGUCAUUUCACGAGUUUUGUUAUUUAGCUAGCUGAUAUAGGCAAUUUCUUUUUCUAAGAUGCAGGCAUUUAGUAAAAAGCCAACAGCAAGUCCACUGCAGUGUCUCAUUAGAAAUUGCUGGACCAAACUGAUCUCAGCAGUGAUGAUAGAGCAGAAGUGUAUUUAGUCAGAAAACAAGCAAAGGUUGUAGACUAUAUAUAUGUUUUUUUCAGAAUUCAGACCUUUCAUUUGUCACAGGAGAAAGUGCUGCUUUAAAAUUGCCUGCAAUAUCUGAAUAAUAGCUGUCAGGUGAUUAUUUCAGUUUACAUUUGGGAUCUGACUCUGGCUUCUCUUGGUGAGGGGGAGGGAAAAGAAAAAGAAGCCAGUUUCCAGACAGCUGUAUGCAGGGAAAUUAUGACUCCUCUUGCCCCACACAACACAUCCUGGAACUCACUGAUAUUUAAAGUUUGGAACACUUAUUUUCUAUAUGUUUGCUACAGGGGAUUGAAAUUUGAUGUGAAUUCUUUUCUUGAAACACUUGAAGUUUUCCUAAGAGGAUAAAACACAGGAACCUGGGUUAUUUGCCAGAUUAAGCUUUAGGAAUUUUCUACAAAUUCAUUUCUGUGUACAAUUCCAUGUUUGGGGUUCUUCUGCAAUGUCCUGACAGCCUUUUCCUAACAGCCCAUCCUCUAAAACAUGAGCCAGGGGAGGCUGUGCCACGUGGGCAGGCACAUUCUAACUUUCAGUAGCUCAUACUGUGAGACAGCUGCCUGCAGAAAGUCAGCCUGGAAAACUGAGGAAAAUGUCUUGAAAAAAGAGCCGGGGAAAAAAAUAAUUUGCUUCUCUUCUUCAUUACUCAUCAAAUCAAAAUCCAUCCUGUGUGUGCCACUGCUGUGUGGGUUGGAAAAGGGAAACUGCAUUCUCUCCAAGUCAAACACUUUCUUUUUGAAAAAGGAAGGGUUACUUUCUAUUGAAUUUACUGAAAAUUUGCACCCCAGAUUCAUUGUAGCAGCAGGGUACAUCCACCUCUUUAAACUCCUGCAGGACCAGGGCUGAUUUGCCAUGAUGAUUACUUUGCAGGUGGUUUGCUAGGACAGGAAAUGUUCUAGAAUGCUCUGGAACUGCAGAUCUGCCUCUGCUCUGAGUCCUGUGGGCACCUCUUCCAGAACACAGAAUUCCUACAGCACUUGCAGCUGGAAGAUACAAGGGGGCAGAGAAUUGUUUCUCCCAAGGACCAAAUGCAUUUUUGAUGAAUGAACAGCUUUUAGGUCCUAUUUAUUGCCAGGUAUGAUGAACCCAUUUUAAAUUUAUUUUGUUACAGCUACAAAGCAAGGAAGGACAUUUAUCUCAGGCACUGCAAUUAAAUUUGGUUUUCCCUAAAUCCCACCUUUCAGUGAGGUAGCUCUUGGGGUAAGUGAGCAGGGAUGCUAGCCUGGAGCUGUCCCAUGAGGUUCCCUUCAAGGCCACCUGCUGUCUGUCCUGGCUGACUCCCUGCCAGGUUGGGCACUGGAAAUCCUUUGAAAACUCUCAUUUUUUCCCAGCUGCCAAGAACUGUGGUGCUCUUCAAGGAAGAUACAGGUGAUGUACUGGAUUCCUCACACGACCAGCUCUCCAGAGCUGGAAUUUAUUUUAAGCUUUGCUUAUUUUUAGGGCGGUUCUUGCUGUUGUUGUCAGGCCCAUGCUAAAGCAAUUACUGUCUGGGCGGGUCACCUGGAGUUCAGUGUCACUGAGAAGCUUGGAGCAGCAGAGAAUGGCAUGAACUGCUCAGCAGAGGGGCUGACACAGACUCCCUCCAUUAAAGAAACACAGCAGCUCCCUCCCUGCUUUAUUUUUUUUUUCAAGUGAGAAGCAGGUUUUUUCUUUCAUGGCAUCAAGCCAUGCUGCAAAAAAACCCCUACCCUGCUCCAAGCAGCCAACUGCCCCCCAAAAUGCAAACCCUGGCAUGUGCUGGGGGCAGCUCCAGCUUCUUCUGCCUGGCUCCUCAGGGGGAUGGAAGCAGCCAAGGCAUCCCUGGGUGUCAGAGCAAUCCACCCAGAUGAGAUGUGCUUUGACACACAGUCCAAAAGGGAUGGGCAGAGAUGUGACAAAGAGCAAAUGAGAGCCAAACAGGGAAUAAACAUGGCCAUCCAUCCAAGGGAACUCCUCCAAUGUGCUCUCCCCCCCUCCUGGAUCAGCUGCUCCUUCCCUGUCACUGCUGCAGGAGAGUGAGAGGAAUAGCAGAUUUGUCUUUACAAAAAAGCUGUGGGUCUGCUGGUAGAUAAAACCAGCACUGGGAGAUAAAAGAAAAAAUGGGAAGGAUUCCACUGAUUGAUAAAUGGAAAAAGAUAUUUGCUUUUACAAAUAAACUUUUGGUUUGCUGAUAAAUGAAAUGAGACUUUGAAAGAUGAAAGAAACAAUGGGGAAGAAAAACCUCUAAAUUCUGUAAGAAUUAAAAAUUAAAAGGGAGGGUUAUACAUUAGAAGGAAAUUUUUGGUAUCAGGUGUAUCAGGAAGUUUGUAUCUUUCAAGUACUUCAGCUAAUGGGGAAAGAGAGAAGGGAAAUGUGGCCAGGAAAUUGGGAUAAAAAGGGAGGCUGUGUCCUUCAAAAAUUUGAGAGAUUCCAGGGGAAUGCCCCAUGGCCUCUCCCUUUAUUCAAAUAAAGUAAAAGGACUCCUCUGUCUCCUUUUUAGACAUACACCUCUGAUGUUCGUAAAUUAAAUUUCCUAACAAGAGGGAACCUCUGCUGCCUUCAUGCAGCUUCAGUUCCAUUUGCAUGUUUGCUAACUUUCCUCCAGCAAGACAACUUUUACAUUUAGAUGGCUUAAGAGGCUGAUUUUUCUGCUCAGUCCCUUGGGUGGAGAACCACUGUGUAAUGCAAGGCAUUCCAUGAGUGAUCCAGGCUUCAGAGCACCUUCUGUUCCCUCUCUGCUCAAGUCAAAAACACGCUGCUGGUUUCAGUUUGCUGGGUUUUGUGUCUCCACUUACAUUUUCUUCAGAGGAGAGAAAUGAAAUGUUGGGCAUUAAAGGGGAAAGAUACUGGAUUUGUGUGCAAAGGUAAGAACAGAAAUCUGACCUGUGGUGCUGUUCACAGGGGUCCCAGGACGAGGGAAGAGACAAGGAUCUGACUCCAUGUUUCAGAAGGCUGAUUUAUUAUUUUAUUAUAUAUAUUAUAUUAAAACUAUACUAAAAGAAUAGAAGAAGGGAUUUCAUCAGAAGGCUUGCAAGGAAAGGAAUGGAAUGAUAAUAAAAUCUUGUGACUGACCAGAGAGUCCGAGACAGCUGGACUGCGAUUGGCCAUUAAUUAGAAAUAACCACAAGAGACCAAUCCCAGAUCCACCUGUUGCAUUCCACAGCAGCAGAUAAUCAUUGUUUACAUUUUGUUCCUGAGGCCUCUCAGCUUCUGAAGAGAAGAAAUCCUAAGGAAAGGAUUUUUCAUAAAAUGUGUCUGUGACACUAACCCUCUAGACUGAUCUUUGAUAUUCAUAAAUGAAAUGUUGGGCAUUAAAGGGGAAAGAUCCUGGAUUUGUGUGCAAAGGUAAGAACAGAAAUCCAACCCUCUAGACUGAUCUUUGAUAUUCAUAACAUUUAGACUUGGGUAGCUCUACUGCCUGGACCUGUCCUGUCAUGGUUUAAGCCCAGCCUGCAGCUGUUCCUGCACCUGAAAGCUCUGAGAGCAAAAGAGAAAGCUGCACUGGUGAGGGGUGGGCUGCACACACUAGGGAUGCUGGGCUGGCUGCUCACAGGAACCUCAAGGACCAUUCCAGGAGGCUGUGUCAGAGCCCUCUCCACCCCAGGGGGACUGCCCAGCCCGGGUGAGUGCUGCUGGGAAAGCCACAGGCAUUGCUUUUGUCCUUGCCACAGAAAAGCAGCACUCUUGUGGGGCUGUCCCAAAAUGUGUUCUAUUUUAACAGCUGUGCUGCAGAGAAAAGUAGGAUGGGUGUAGCUGUUGUUUGAGGAGGUGAGGAAAGUAAAGGGGAAAAAAAAAAAAUCAGAAAAUUGCAUUCUCUUUUUUUGCCUUUUCACUUUUUGGGGGGCUGAGGAGUUUCACUGCUCCAUUUCUAGCAGCUACAAGUGGAGGGCUCCUUUACACCUGGGUAUUUCUAGAUGUGGCUAUAAAUGCACCACAUCUUGUUUUCACUUUUUUUGUGUGUGUGUACACGCAGCACAAAUGCAAACCGGCUGGUGUUGUGUGCAUUGACAAACAUGCUCAGGUUCUGUGGGAUACCCACAAACACACAUAUACACACCCACACACCUUGAGGAUGGUUUCAUUGUAGCCAGCCACAAGGGUUUUUAUGACAGAACCCGAGAAGUUGCAAGAGAUUCAUUUUUCAGCCUCUCUGUCACUUACGAAAACACCUGCUCACAAAUAAAAGUGUUUACUAACUCACAGUGGUGAUUACAGGGACAGACCUCUUAGACAUGACAAAAAUGCUGCACUUUUCAUCACAAAUGGAUUUAUUAAGUCCUGUGCAAGGGCAAAUGAGCAGGGAGAGCUCUGAUCCUCUACCCAGGAGAGCCGAAAGUUCUGCCUGUUACCCUCCAAACUGCAGGUGAGCUGCUACUGCUAUUGGGUUUUAUUUGGUCAGUGAGAACAGAACCAAAACAAGAGUUUUGAUACCACUUUUGGUGGAAAUAGAAUACAUUUUGUUCUCUGAUCAUUAUCAUAUUUAAUAAUGAGAAGUACACCUAAUAUUUAGUAAUAUAUAUAAUAAAUAUAUUUAAUAAUGAUAACUGUAUCAGGUAAGCACAGCAGCAUUAAAAUAAUUCCCUGAUGAAGAGAGGCCUUCAGGAAAGGGCCAGGCUUUAUUGUCUGUGAGGGUGCUGUCAGCAUAAAAAAUUAUCAUGAACUUCAACUUCAAGCAAUCAAACUUCAUCAUAUUGAAGGAGCCCCAUUAAAUGCUCAGAUUGUUCUUCAUUUGAUCAAUUCCUGAGGGAAGGAGAGGCUGCAGAAAUCAAUAGGGCAUGGCUGAGGAAGCCAGAGUGUCUUGGUGGUGUCUGCCAAAGGGAGUGGAGCCACCUAAGGAGGGAGCUUGUGUCACCCUGCUGGGACACCAAGUGCCCAGGAGCCCUGGAAGGGCUUGGAGCAGACAAGGAGUUCCAAGGACAGCUGGGUUUGGGGAAAUCAGCCUCAAAACUCUUUCUGCUACAGCUCCUCCCUUGGGUUUCACUGCUCCCCAGCCAUGGGGAUGCUGGUCCAGCACAUCCCUCACUCAGGGCAGCUGGGCUGCUCACUGCUGCCUCAGCUCUGCCUUAGAGACACCCAGGGAGUGAGCCAGCCUUCAGAGCACCUUCUGCUCCCUCUCUGUCUGUAGCUGCUCAAGCCAAAACAUUGCUGGUCUCAGUUUGCUGGGUUUUGUGUCUCCACUCACAUUUUCUUCAGAGGAGAGAAAUGAAAUGUUGGGCAUUAAAGGGGAAAGAUACUGGAUUUGUGUGCAAAGGUAAGAACAGAAAUCUAACUCUCUAGGUUGAUCUUUGAUAUUCAUAACAUUUGGACUUGAGUAGCUCUACUGCCUGGACCUGUCCUGGCAUGGUUUAAGCCCAGCCAGCAGCUGAGCCCAGCAGCUGCUGUGUCCUGGGGUGACUUUUUAGUGCUCUUUAAUAUUGUUCCCUUUUUUGUGCUGGUGAAUGCUUUGCCUGUUAAAUAAAGUUUUUUCCCCUUUUCUCCAAGGAAAUUCUUAGCUUUCUAGAGCAAAUUCUAAACCCCUUUAGAGGUUUUCUCCCAAAUUUGCCCUAAACCAGGACAUACACACUCCCUCCCUCCAGAUGGGAAUGAAGGAGAGAAUGGGAAGGGUGGAGGUGAGACAGUCCUGGACUGAGGUAAAGACAGUUUAACAGGGAAAGCAAAAGCCAUAGGUGCAAGCCAAGCAAAGCCAGGGGGUCAUUCCCCACUGCCAGGGCAGGCAGGUGCUCAGCACCCCCAGGAGAGCAAGGCUCCAUCACAUGGAGGGUUACUUGGGAAGAAAAACCCCAUCACCCCUUCCCUCUUUCUUCCCCCAGCUCUCCAUGGGAGUGUGAUGGUCUGGAACAUCCCUGGGGUCAGCUUUCCUGUCUGUGUCCCCUCCCAACUCCCCAAAAAGGGCCUUGUCACCCUAAGUGCUGCUCAGCAGGAAGGAAAGCAUCUCUGUAUGACCAACUUUGUUUCCAAAACACAAUCCCAUACCAGCUCCCAUGGAGGAAAUUAACUCUAUCCCAAAAACCAUCCCAUCCUUAAAUCAGCCCCUUUCACCCUCAGCUUCUGUUCCACUCCUGCAACAACAGAGAGCCCAGAAAAGUUAAAACAAUUGGCACAAAUUUUUUGUCCAAACUGCUUUCAUGUCUCAUGAUUUAAAAAUCACCCUGUCACUUUGGAGUUAUUCUGUUAAUCAAGUUCUCGCAUUGAAAUAUUUCUAAAUGAAAAGAAAAAGUUUGUGGAGAGCAGAUUUUUUUUUCCCCUCAUAUUCUGAUCACAGAACUGGGGGAAAAAACUUAACUUGAAAAGCACACUGAAAAAUAAAUAAGGACAAGGCCAUUUACAAAGGAAAAUGUCUUUUCAUUUGAAAGCUCUCUGUCCCUCCCCAUUUACAAGGGUGAACCUUGCACUGAGCUUUCUGGUUCCAAUUGUUUCACCAAAAGGAGACCAUGACAUGCUUCUUCUGAGUCCUGCCUCAGAAAACUGAACGUGUUUUAUGUCAGAAUUGCUGCAGAGGACAUAGAUAAAGCUUUGCAAACAGAUUUUGUGGCUUUUCCCUUUCUGAUUGCUGGUUGAAUGUUGGGAAACUCGACCUGAUUCAGAGCAGGGAUAACAUGCCCUACUCUUUCCAACUGGGCUUCAGGGCACAAAGAAGCCUUGCUGCAGUCCUUGGAGGUAAAGAAAGCAGGCUUUCAGACCCUGUUAGCCUUUCCACCCCCCAGCAGGUUCAGAGUGCAGCCUUAAACCUGCAGAGAGAGCAUGCCCAGCUUCCCCUGGCCUUUCCAAAACAAACCAGCACAGUUCCCUGCUUGCUGCUCCCACCUUUUGGUGCUGGCCUGUGACAAUUGUGCAUGCCUGCUGAUUGUUGGCACUCCCAAAGCCUGUCAUCCAGGGCAAUAAUGUUUGAGAUGAGGAGGUUCUGCCUAUGAGGGGGUUCUGCAUGUUUGUGCUGCUCUCCAGAAAGCUGAUCUCCCAGCAGAGCAGCUGCUUUAUGGCACCCUUCUCGUUGUGUGGGGAAGCCACAGGGGCCACCGGGAAGGCAGAAGGCAGGCCCUGGCCACCAGCUGGGAAUUUCAGCUGGCCCCAGGCUCCACCCUGCACCUUGCCCAGCAAAGCACUGGCAUCAAUGCCAGCAUCCUUCCACGUCCAGAGCCCACUUCUGUCCCCACUCCCCUUCCUGCUGGCUUGGAUUGAGCUUUGACAUCCUCUGGAUUUGCUGGCCAUGGUGUCCAUGCCCAGGGUGUGCAAGUGUGCAGCUGAAACCUCCUCCUCCUCCUUCUCCUCCUCCUCCCGGUCCCUGGCACUACCCCGUGUUCUCGGGUUAACCCUCACUCUGCCUCGUGCCUGCGGCUCCUUCUCGGGUUUUGUGUUGCUGAAAUGGCUCCCAAGGUAUUAAAGAAUCUUUUUUCCCAGCACUGUGAGGAAAAGUCAAGAUUCCUCAGCUCUGGUUUUCAGGGUUGUUUAUUUUCUCUUAUCUGUUCCAUUCUUUCUCUGACCUGCUGAGGUCUGUCUGGCAGGUUGGUUUAUGGCACAGUCCCUGCCCUUGGGGUGCUGUUAGCUUUUUAUACUAAGAACUACCUGUACUUUAUUUACAAUAAUUUUCCAAUCCCUAUCACCUAUGUUAGACAGUCUGUCUCUGCUCUAAGCCAAUCCAGAAGUGCCACCAUCACAGCAGGAGAUGGAGGAAAAAAAAGGCAGGACAUGCCCAGAUUCCUCCAUCUUGCCUCUUGAAUCCCCAUUCUAAAAACCCCAAAAUUCUACUUUUUCACCCUGUGACAAAUUCACUAUCAUUCUAUUCAAACCCUUGUGGCUUGUAAAUCCUCACACAAAGUUGGUAGUUGUUUCCAUGGGCUAAAAUCAAAGGCACAGCUGUUUUUGUCUCUAUGCCAAGGUCUCUGUGCCCCCUGCCAGGGUCUCAAGUCCUCCAGGGCAGCCAGAGGAAUGUCCUGGGUUCUGACAGGCUGCCUAGGAAGUGGUGUCAAUAAUACAGAAAAGUUUAAAAAAUUGUUUAAAAAAGCUUAACUAAUAAUACAGAAAAGCUUAACUGGUGCUGAGCUGGGCUCACAUGGAACCAGGGCCUUCCCUCCUCUUGGCCCAGCCAGGGGCUCGGGGGGCACGAGGUGCUGGGAGGGACAGAGCCAGGACAGCUGACCCCAGCUCACCCAGGGGACAUCCCAGGCCACGUGGCCUCAUGCUCAGCAGGUAAAGCUGGGCGAGAAGGAGGAGAGGAUAGAUUCAGUGCCAGCAUUUGUGUCCCCAAGAUGCCAUUAUGGGAGCUGGACCCUGGGCAUUACUGAGCUCCUGCCUGCCAUGGGGAGCUGGGGAGGGAAUUCCUGCUUUGCUUUGCUUGCGCAUGUGGCUUUUGCUUUCUCUGUUAAAGUGUCUUUACCUCUGUCUUUACCUGGAAAACUCUUUACCAGGGUUCUUCUCACUUCCACCCUUGCCAUUCUCUCCCCCAUCCCUCCAGGGGGGAAUAAGUGAGUGGCUGUGUGGGGCUUUGCUGCCAGCUGGGGUUAAACCUUGACACCUGGGGAAAAAUGUUAAAUAUCUGUGGCAGGAAGUACUCAAAUAAAACUGCCAGCCAUUCAUCACAGAGAAUUUAUGGAUGUCUCCCCCUUCACAUCUUAAACCUUGCAUUCACUGAAGGCCACAAGAUUCAGAUAUUAUUGUUGUGUAUCUUACACAAACAGGGACUCAACUAACCUGAGGUCAGGGAGUAGGGGAGCAUGGACAGGCUGUCACCAUGUCCUCCUCCCUUUUUUUUCCCUCUGGAAGUAUCCUAGAUGCAUUUUAAUAAGUAGGAGCUGUCAGUAUAACAUCUUGCCUUUCUCACAUCCUAUGUGGGAACAUUAAAAUAACAUUAAUAAUAAGCUAUAAUUGAUUUUAUAUUAGUUAUAUUAGUAAUAAUAAAUUAUUGUUUAAUUAAUAAUUAGAAUAACAUUACAAAAAGCAUUUCAUUUUUGAUCCAAAGAUCUUGGAGUGUUUUUUGAGGGACAGGAGCAGACUGGAGGAACAGGACAAACACAAGUCCUGCACUGUGGAGGGACUGUGCUGGAGUGAGCACAGCUGCUAGAGGAGGUUAUCAGACCCCUGUCCUCAGCAUUUGUCAGGCUGCAUCACAAGUGGUACUGUGAGAUCUGGGCUCCCUCAUGUAAGAAACGAGAAGAAACUCUGCAGGAACUAUUUUAUCUCUUUUAUCACCACCCAGUUCUGCUACAGGAUAAUUAUACAGAAUACUGUCCCCCCUGCAAUGGGGGCAGUACAAAUAGCAUAUCAACCCCAAAAUCCCUGCCCUGCAUUCAAGGCCCUUGGGAUCAGCCUUGCCACAUUUUAUAGCUUCAAAAUUAAGAGUACAGCUGGCAGUUUUCAUCUUUGGGGAUGUCAUUACCUUCAAUUAGCAGAUAACACCACCCCUAAGUGAGAAACUGAGGAGUCUUUGUGACUCACGCAGCAGAGGCAGAAUAAACUGUCCUAAGGUUUGAGAGCAGCUUCAAAAAUCACUUAUUUCCAUCCCAAUUUGUCUUCAAAUUGGCUCCAGAAAGCCAGCACAUCAAAGAUCAAUAUACUUCAGGGAAAGUGUGGGAGGAAGGGAAGAAGAGUGAUGGUAAGAUGAUUCCCAUGUUACUUUGAGGCACAUUAAUAUUCCUUUGGCCACAAAGCACAGAUCACCGGUGAGCUGAGCUCCAAAACAAGGUAGGUUUUGCUGCAAGAUGCACAACACUUGUAUGAGCUAGGAGCCCUGCAGGUAUCUCUAAUGGGUACCAAACAUUUAGUGAGAAAA